UACGUAGGCAGCGAGCGUUGUUCGGAGUUACUGGGCGUAAAGGGUGUGUAGGCGGUUGUUUAAGUUUGGUGUGAAAUCCCUCGGCUUAACCGGGGAACUGCGUCUGAUACUGGUUGGCUUGAAUCCGGGAGAGGGAUGUGGAAUUCCAGGUGUAGCGGUGAAAUGCGUAGAUAUCUGGAGGAACACCGGUGGCGAAGGCGGCAUCCUGGACCGGUAUUGACGCUGAGGAGCGAAAGCCAGGGGAGCAAACGGG
RNAcentral lists this ribosomal RNA (253 nucleotides) under uncultured bacterium. Its description in RNAcentral is "partial 16S ribosomal RNA". It matches the Rfam family "Bacterial small subunit ribosomal RNA", at positions 524 to 776 of the family's 1533-position model. The record is from RNAcentral.